This 72-nucleotide transfer RNA is filed under the name Treponemataceae bacterium. Its description in RNAcentral is "tRNA-Glu". It matches the Rfam family "tRNA". From Rfam's summary of the family: Transfer RNA (tRNA) molecules are approximately 80 nucleotides in length. Their secondary structure includes four short double-helical elements and three loops (D, anti-codon, and T loops). Further hydrogen bonds mediate the characteristic L-shaped molecular structure. tRNAs have two regions of fundamental functional importance: the anti-codon, which is responsible for specific mRNA codon recognition, and the 3' end, to which the tRNAs corresponding amino acid is attached (by aminoacyl-tRNA synthetases). tRNAs cope with the degeneracy of the genetic code in two manners: having more than one tRNA (with a specific anti-codon) for a particular amino acid; and 'wobble' base-pairing, i.e. permitting non-standard base-pairing at the 3rd anti-codon position. Lineage: Bacteria; Pseudomonadati; Spirochaetota; Spirochaetia; Treponematales; Treponemataceae. The record is from RNAcentral.
GGUCCCUUCGUCUAUUGGUUAGGACUCAAGAUUCUCAAUCUUGCAAGAUGGGUUCAAUUCCCAUAGGGACUA